UGGGAACGCGAAGAACCUUACCGGGGCUUGACAUCUUUCUGCCCGCCUGGGAAACCAGGCCUUCUUCCUUCGGGAAGACGGAAAGACAGGUGGUGCAUGGUUGUCGUCAGCUCGUGUCGUGAGAUGUUGGGUUAAGUCCCGCAACGAGCGCAACCCCUACUGUUAGUUGCCAGCAUUCAGUUGGGCACUCUAAUGAGACUGCCGGUGACAAACCGGAGGAAGGUGGGGAUGACGUCAAAUCAUCAUGCCCCUUAUGACCUGGGCUACACACGUGCUACAAUGGAUGGUACAACGAGCAGCAAGACCGCGAGGUCAAGCGAAUCUCUUAAAGCCAUUCUCAGUUUGGAUUGCAGGCUGCAACUCGCCUGCAUGAAGCCGGAAUCGCUAGUAAUCGCGGAUCAGCACGCCGCGGUGAAUACGUUCCCGGGUCUUGUACACACCG
Molecule: ribosomal RNA, 442 nt
Filed under: uncultured bacterium
Lineage: Bacteria
Description: bacterial SSU rRNA
Rfam family: Bacterial small subunit ribosomal RNA
Source: RNAcentral